This 460-nucleotide ribosomal RNA is filed under the name uncultured bacterium. RNAcentral's name for it is "partial 16S ribosomal RNA". It matches the Rfam family "Bacterial small subunit ribosomal RNA", at positions 338 to 795 of the family's 1533-position model. The record is from RNAcentral.
CCUACGGGUGGCAGCAGUGAGGAAUAUUGGUCAAUGGACGAGAGUCUGAACCAGCCAAGUAGCGUGAAGGAUGACUGCCCUAUGGUUUGUAAACUUCUUUUAUAUGGGAAUAAAAUGUUCCACGUGUGGGAUUUUGUAUGUACCAUAUGAAUAAGCAUCGGCUAACUCCGUGCCAGCAGCCGCGGUAAUACGGAGGAUCCGAGCGUUAUCCGGAUUUAUUGGGGUUAAAGGGAGCGUAGGUGGCUUGUUAAGUCAGUUGUGAAAGUUUGCGGCUCAACCGUAAAAUUGCAGUUGAAACUGGCAGGCUGGAGUGCAGUAGAGGUAGGCGGAAUGCGUGGUGUAGCGGUGAAAUGCGUAGAUAUCACGAAGAACUCCGAUGGCGAAGGCAGCUUACUGGACUGUAACUGACACUGAGGCUCGAAAGUGUGGGGAUCAAACAGGAUUAGAUACCCGAGUAGUC